AUUAGACUACCCUGUAGUCCUAGCCGUAAACGAUACUCGCUAGGUGUCGGCCACGGUGCGACCGUUGUCGGUGCCGUAGGGAAGCCGUGAAGCGAGCCACCUGGGAAGUACGGCCGCAAGGCUGAAACUUAAAGGAAUUGGCGGGGGAGCACAACAACGGGUGGAGCUUGCGGUUUAAUUGGAUUCAACGCCGGAAAUCUUACCGGGACCGACAGCAACAUGAAGGCCAAGCUGAAGACUUUGCCGGAUUAGCUG
This 255-nucleotide ribosomal RNA is filed under the name uncultured archaeon. RNAcentral describes it as "partial 16S ribosomal RNA". It matches the Rfam family "Archaeal small subunit ribosomal RNA", at positions 728 to 982 of the family's 1478-position model. The record is from RNAcentral.